Molecule: ribosomal RNA, 837 nt
Filed under: Ophiocordyceps sinensis
Lineage: Eukaryota; Fungi; Ascomycota; Sordariomycetes; Hypocreales; Ophiocordycipitaceae
Description: eukaryotic LSU rRNA
Rfam family: Eukaryotic large subunit ribosomal RNA
Source: RNAcentral
UGCCCCAGUAACGGCGAGUGAAGCGGCAACAGCUCAAAUUUGAAAUCUGGCCCCCCCGCGGGCCCGAGUUGUAAUUUGCAGAGGAUGCUUUUGGCGCGGCGCCUUCCGAGUGCCCUGGAACGGGACGCCAUAGAGGGUGAGAGCCCCGUCUGGUCGGACGCCCAGCCUCUGUAAAGCUCCUUCGACGAGUCGAGUAGUUUGGGAAUGCUGCUCUAAACGGGAGGUAUAUGUCUUCUAAAGCUAAAUACCGGCCAGAGACCGAUAGCGCACAAGUAGAGUGAUCGAAAGAUGAAAAGCACUUUGAAAAGAGGGUUAAACAGUACGUGAAAUUGUUGAAAGGGAAGCGCUUGUGACCAGACUCGGGCGCGGCGAAUCACCCGGCGUUCUCGCCGGUGCACUUCGACGCGCCCGGGCCAGCAUCAGCUCGCCGCGGGGGACAAAGGCGCCGGGAACGUGGCUCCCCAGGGAGUGUUAUAGCCCGGCGCGCAACGCCCCGCGGCGGACUGAGGUUCGCGCGUCCGCAAGGAUGCUGGCGUAAUGGUCACCAGUGACCCGUCUUGAAACACGGACCAAGGAGUCGUCCUCGUAUGCGAGUGUUCGGGUGUCAAACCCCUACGCGCAAUGAAAGUGAACGCGGGUGAGAGCCUCGCGGCGCAUCAUCGACCGAUCCUGAUGUUCUCGGAUGGAUUUGAGUAGGAGCAUACGGGGCCGGACCCGAAAGAAGGUGAACUAUGCCUGUGUAGGGUGAAGCCAGAGGAAACUCUGGUGGAGGCUCGCAGCGGUUCUGACGUGCAAAUCGAUCGUCAAACAUGGGCAUGGGGGCGAAAGACUAAUCGA